RNAcentral lists this ribosomal RNA (449 nucleotides) under uncultured bacterium. RNAcentral describes it as "bacterial SSU rRNA". It matches the Rfam family "Bacterial small subunit ribosomal RNA", at positions 28 to 473 of the family's 1533-position model. The record is from RNAcentral.
GAUGAACGCUAGCUACAGGCUUAACACAUGCAAGUCGAGGGGCAGCAUGGUCUUAGCUUGCUAAGGCCGAUGGCGACCGGCGCACGGGUGAGUAACACGUAUCCAACCUGCCGUCUACUCUUGGACAGCCUUCUGAAAGGAAGAUUAAUACAAGAUGGCAUCAUGAGUCCGCAUGUUCACAUGAUUAAAGGUAUUCCGGUAGACGAUGGGGAUGCGUUCCAUUAGAUAGUAGGCGGGGUAACGGCCCACCUAGUCUUCGAUGGAUAGGGGUUCUGAGAGGAAGGCCCCCCCANAUUGGAACUGAGACACGGUCCAAACUCCUACGGGAGGCAGCAGUGAGGAAUAUUGGUCAAUGGACGAGAGUCUAGAACCAGCCAAGUAGCGUGCAGGAUGACGGCCCUAUGGGUUGUAAACUGCUUUUAUAAGGGAAUAAAGUGAGUACUCGUGAG